This 1346-nucleotide ribosomal RNA is filed under the name uncultured bacterium. RNAcentral's name for it is "partial 16S ribosomal RNA". It matches the Rfam family "Bacterial small subunit ribosomal RNA", at positions 28 to 1381 of the family's 1533-position model. The record is from RNAcentral.
GACGAACGCUGGCGGCGUGCUUAACACAUGCAAGUCGAACGGAAAGGCCCUGCUUUUGUGGGGUGCUCGAGUGGCGAACGGGUGAGUAACACGUGAGUAACCUGCCCUUGACUUUGGGAUAACUUCAGGAAACUGGGGCUAAUACCGGAUAGGAGCUCCUGCUGCAUGGUGGGGGUUGGAAAGUUUCGGCGGUUGGGGAUGGACUCGCGGCUUAUCAGCUUGUUGGUGGGGUAGUGGCUUACCAAGGCUUUGACGGGUAGCCGGCCUGAGAGGGUGACCGGCCACAUUGGGACUGAGAUACGGCCCAGACUCCUACGGGAGGCAGCAGUGGGGAAUAUUGCACAAUGGGCGGAAGCCUGAUGCAGCAACGCCGCGUGCGGGAUGACGGCCUUCGGGUUGUAAACCGCUUUUGCCUGUGACGAAGCGUGAGUGACGGUAAUGGGUAAAGAAGCACCGGCUAACUACGUGCCAGCAGCCGCGGUGAUACGUAGGGUGCGAGCGUUGUCCGGAUUUAUUGGGCGUAAAGGGCUCGUAGGUGGUUGAUCGCGUCGGAAGUGUAAUCUUGGGGCUUAACCCUGAGCGUGCUUUCGAUACGGGUUGACUUGAGGAAGGUAGGGGAGAAUGGAAUUCCUGGUGGAGCGGUGGAAUGCGCAGAUAUCAGGAGGAACACCAGUGGCGAAGGCGGUUCUCUGGGCCUUUCCUGACGCUGAGGAGCGAAAGCGUGGGGAGCGAACAGGCUUAGAUACCCUGGUAGUCCACGCUGUAAACGGUGGGUACUAGGUGUGGGGUCCAUUCCACGGGUUCCGUGCCGUAGCUAACGCUUUAAGUACCCCGCCUGGGGAGUACGGCCGCAAGGCUAAAACUCAAAGGAAUUGACGGGGCCCCGCACAAGCGGCGGAGCAUGCGGAUUAAUUCGAUGCAACGCGUAGAACCUUACCUGGGUUUGACAUGGAUCGGGAGUGCUCAGAGAUGGGUGUGCCUCUUUUGGGGUCGGUUCACAGGUGGUGCAUGGCUGUCGUCAGCUCGUGUCGUGAGAUGUUGGGUUAAGUCCCGCAACGAGCGCAACCCUUGUUCACUGUUGCCAGCACGUUAUGGUGGGGACUCAGUGGAGACCGCCGGGGUCAACUCGGAGGAAGGUGGGGAUGACGUCAAGUCAUCAUGCCCCUUAUGUCCAGGGCUUCACGCAUGCUACAAUGGCUGGUACAGAGAGUGGCGAGCCUGUGAGGGUGAGCGAAUCUCGGAAAGCAGGUCUCAGUUCGGAUUGGGGUCUGCAACUCGACCUCAUGAAGUCGGAGUCGCUAGUAAUCGCAGAUCAGCAACGCUGCGGUGAAUACGUUCCCGGGGCU